AUGGGACCCAGGAUUCUUACUAAAACACCCAAAGGCUGUAGAUGUUAGUCGGUCAGAGGUUAGAGUGACCCAGGGACCCUCUGUUGCCCCUCCCCUUUGUUUACAAGCGUUGGCCACUCCACCUAGAAAGAUUAUACGCUCACUCUGGAAAUGUCAGCACAUUGGCCACAAAAUACCAUGCAGAUCCCCAAGGACUUCACUAGAGAGGAAAGCAAUAAUCCAGCGACUGAACCCAGGUGUCUCUCACCAAACCCUACCCUUUCUGGUCUCUAGGCCAGGGCAGUUCCUCCACCAGUCCCGACGUUUGCGCUACCUAAGCACGUUUGGAUUUAACAGGACCAUUUCAACUCCAAGACAGGUGAAAAUGUCACUGCGUAACUUUCACAACCGGUGGAUUUUCCUGGAUAUGCUUACAGAGAUGUCUGACAACCAUCAGAGGCAGCCAAAGUAUUGUGGACAGUUGACACAAUGUCAGUCUGUGGCAUCUUCACUGCCAAGUGAUAUUUCCACUCUAGAUAGCUAAACCCGAUUUUUUAAAAACUCACCUUUGGUAUAUAACAUCAGUUGGAAACUUCACACUGUUUUAGUUCUUCACUCUAAAGUGGAUAUCAACUUUAGUAACUGAUGACAGAUCCCAGCUUCCACAGUAAAAAUAGCCUCUGGUUUGGCCUGAUGUGUUUCCUCUUGCUAAGGAAGGGACUCUGGAGCAAACCAGCCUUGCAUAGAUUUAAGGAGAACAUUAUUCAUAUUUUGCACCUAUUACACCAUUGUAUUUGCAAUAAACUUUAAGGAAAAGGAUUGAAUGUGACAUAAGAAGUUAACAUUUUUUGUAUUUCUUGCCCCAAAAUAGUGCUUAUCAUUUUUUAAAAAUUGCUAUAUGGUUACCCAUAAUAAUCUUACUUUCUAUAUCUAACUAGUUUAAAUGGUAC
This 929-nucleotide long non-coding RNA is filed under the name Homo sapiens (human). RNAcentral's name for it is "HSALNT0061848". Lineage: Eukaryota; Metazoa; Chordata; Mammalia; Primates; Hominidae. The record is from RNAcentral.